Molecule: ribosomal RNA, 399 nt
Filed under: uncultured bacterium
Lineage: Bacteria
Description: bacterial SSU rRNA
Rfam family: Bacterial small subunit ribosomal RNA
Source: RNAcentral
AACGAACGUUAGCGGCGCGCCUAACACAUGCAAGUCGAGCGAGAAAGGGCUUCGGCCCCGGUAAAGCGGCGCACGGGUGAGUAACACGUGGAUAACCUACCCCUUGGUGGUGGAUAACCUUCCGAAAGGAGGGCUAAUACAGCGUAAGACCACGACUUCGAAAGAGGUUGGGGUAAAAGUGGGCCUCUGUACACAAGCUCACGCCAGGGGAUGGGGUCCCGCGGCCCAUCAGCUAGUUGGUAGGGUAACGCCUACCAAGGCGAAGACGGGUAGCUGGUCUGAGAGGAUGAUCAGCCACACUGGAACUGAGACACGGUCCAGACUCCUACGGGAGGCAGCAGUGGGGAAUCUUGCGCAAUGGACGAAAGUCUGACGCAGCGACGCCGCGUGAGUGAUGAA